Long non-coding RNA from Patella vulgata (common limpet), 837 nucleotides. RefSeq lists it as uncharacterized. The record is from RefSeq and is a predicted model, not a curated record. NCBI's taxonomy places the organism in Eukaryota, Metazoa, Mollusca, Gastropoda, Patellidae. The transcript is spliced from 3 exons.
UCAGCCACAACUACAUUACCCACCAAAAGCACAAUCAAUACAACAGAAGAAAUCGCAAGUAUUGUAACACGCCAGAUAUAUACGGAUAAAAGUACAAUCCAGUCCACUGAACUAGACAAUUCCAAACUUGCAAAACCCACAGAAUCAUAUACGCCUGAAGAUAGAUCUGGAAGAACAGAAGAAAUCUUAAAUACUAUGUCCAUGGUUUUACAUAAAGAUACACCAGUAGAUACUGGUGUUAUUGCUGGAAGCGUCGUGGGAUGUAUUCUAGUGGUCAUAUUAGUUAUCAUUGUCGUAGUCGUCAUACUAAAACGAAAGAAGGGUAUAUGUUAUAAAGAAGGUGGUACCUCCAAUACAGUGUACGACACACCAACUAGUUUUAACCAGGACGCUUCGCCCUACACUGAUUUAACAGUGAGUAACCACUGUAGAAGUGGACACCAGCCCUAUCAUGAAAAUUCGCCCGUUUAGGUUAGCAAAAUCAUGAUGACUUUGUUCAAAAAGAAUGCAACGGUUUGAAGUACAUUGUCCCUGUCCAUGCAAUAUGUAUUAAAUGGAUUAUGAUGGGUUUACGAUGACUGACAAUAAUAAACUUCAAAUGGAACGAAAUUAAAUGGGGUUUGACGUCCUGCCCCAACUGGGCUAAUAAAGACGGUCAUACUUCGUGAUCAUGCAUUGUGCUAUAAGGGAGAUUUUAUGGCACACCAGCUCCGACCUGGCUAUAUAUAGACAAUUAUAUGGUGAACAGUACGAGACAAACUAUAUGUAAUCAUUGAAUGUAUAUAUGUACAUGAAUAAAAACCAAAUAUUACUGAAUAUCAAAUAAUUGAAAAUAAA